Molecule: Y RNA, 112 nt
Filed under: Rhinopithecus bieti (black snub-nosed monkey)
Lineage: Eukaryota; Metazoa; Chordata; Mammalia; Primates; Cercopithecidae
Also listed under: 1 other name
Description: Y RNA (ENSRBIG00000014435.1)
Rfam family: Y RNA
About the family: Y RNAs are components of the Ro ribonucleoprotein particle (Ro RNP), in association with Ro60 and La proteins. The Y RNAs and Ro60 and La proteins are well conserved, but the function of the Ro RNP is not known.
Source: Rfam by way of RNAcentral
GGCUGGUCUGAAGGGGGUGAGUUAUCUCAACUGAUUGUUCACAGUCAGUUACAGAUUAAACUCCUUGUUUUACUCUUUCCCACUUCUCACUGCUGCACUUGACUAGUCUUAA